Molecule: ribosomal RNA, 253 nt
Filed under: uncultured bacterium
Lineage: Bacteria
Description: partial 16S ribosomal RNA
Rfam family: Bacterial small subunit ribosomal RNA
Source: RNAcentral
UACGUAGGGUGCAAGCGUUGUCCGGAAUUAUUGGGCGUAAAGGGCUCGUAGGCGGUUUGUCGCGUCGGGAGUGAAAUCCACUGGCUUAACUGGUGGCUUGCUUUCGAUACGGGCAGACUGGAGGUAUGCAGGGGAGAACGGAAUUCCUGGUGUAGCGGUGAAAUGCGCAGAUAUCAGGAGGAACACCGAUGGCGAAGGCAGGUCUCUGGGCCACUACUGACGCUGAGAAGCGAAAGCAUGGGGAGCGAACAGG